This 18-nucleotide non-coding RNA is filed under the name Rattus norvegicus (Norway rat). Lineage: Eukaryota; Metazoa; Chordata; Mammalia; Rodentia; Muridae. The record is from RNAcentral.
AAGAAAAGUAACGGUGUC